Molecule: long non-coding RNA, 355 nt
Organism: Mirounga angustirostris (Northern elephant seal)
Lineage: Eukaryota; Metazoa; Chordata; Mammalia; Carnivora; Phocidae
Exons: 3
Source: RefSeq, a predicted model, not a curated record
GAGGGAGAGGGAGAAGCAGGCUCCUUGCUGAGCAGAGAGCCCAAUGGGGGGCUCAAUCCCAGGACCCUGGGAUCAUGACCUGAGCCAAAGGCAGCUGCUUAACUGACUGAGGCAUUCAGGUGCCCCAUGAGAGUAAUGGUUUAAUGAAGAAAACAUCAUAUACUGUCCAGGGCCUGGCUCUUCAGGAACUGUCUCUGGGGUCUCACUGAUGUCCUUCCUCCACUCUUUUCUCAAUUCCAGUCUUUCGUGUAAUAUCUGAUUACUUAUUUGAGUUUUUUCUUGUUUCCUGAGGUAGGUCUGCAUUGAUAUAUAGUUCCAUCUUAGAACUGCUUUUGCUGUAUCCCCCAAAUUUUGA